This 312-nucleotide ribosomal RNA is filed under the name Triticum aestivum (bread wheat). RNAcentral describes it as "partial small subunit ribosomal RNA". The record is from RNAcentral. Lineage: Eukaryota; Viridiplantae; Streptophyta; Magnoliopsida; Poales; Poaceae.
AUGGCUGGAAGGCACACCAUUGUUCUCGUGCAACCAUCUCCAAACAAAGCGUCCAGAACUUUUAUGGACUUCAGUUCACUCAACCAAGCCCUGGAUGGUAUCUGUGCCCGUUAUGAAAAGAAAAUCAUGGAUAUCAACCCGAUGGCCAGGAACUUCACUUAUGACAUCACAGACCUGUACAAUUUCAUCGAUGGCCUAGCGGACAUCAGUGCCCUAGUGUAUGAUCAUCAACUUCAAGCUUUUCUGCCGUACGACAGGCAGUGGAUAAAACAGAAGAUGUUCCAGCACCUCAAGAACCAGGCACGGCAGUAG